CGGGUGCUAUACAUGCAGUCGAGCGAAUGGAUUAAGAGCUUGCUCUUAUGAAGUUAGCGGCGGACGGGUGAGUAACACGUGGGUAACCUGCCCAUAAGACUGGGAUAACUCCGGGAAACCGGGGCUAAUACCGGAUAAUAUUUUGAACCGCAUGGUUCGAAAUUGAAAGGCGGCUUCGGCUGUCACUUAUGGAUGGACCCGCGUCGCAUUAGCUAGUUGGUGAGGUAACGGCUCACCAAGGCAACGAUGCGUAGCCGACCUGAGAGGGUGAUCGGCCACACUGGGACUGAGACACGGCCCAGACUCCUACGGGAGGCAGCAGUAGGGAAUCUUCCGCAAUGGACGAAAGUCUGACGGAGCAACGCCGCGUGAGUGAUGAAGGCUUUCGGGUCGUAAAACUCUGUUGUUAGGGAAGAACAAGUGCUAGUUGAAUAAGCUGGCACCUUGACGGUACCUAACCAGAAAGCCACGGCUAACUACGUGCCAGCAGCCGCGGUAAUACGUAGGUGGCAAGCGUUAUCCGGAAUUAUUGGGCGUAAAGCGCGCGCAGGUGGUUUCUUAAGUCUGAUGUGAAAGCCCACGGCUCAACCGUGGAGGGUCAUUGGAAACUGGGAGACUUGAGUGCAGAAGAGGAAAGUGGAAUUCCAUGUGUAGCGGUGAAAUGCGUAGAGAUAUGGAGGAACACCAGUGGCGAAGGCGACUUUCUGGUCUGUAACUGACACUGAGGCGCGAAAGCGUGGGGAGCAAACAGGAUUAGA
RNAcentral lists this ribosomal RNA (758 nucleotides) under Bacillus cereus. Its description in RNAcentral is "bacterial SSU rRNA". It matches the Rfam family "Bacterial small subunit ribosomal RNA", at positions 43 to 782 of the family's 1533-position model. The record is from RNAcentral. Lineage: Bacteria; Bacillati; Bacillota; Bacilli; Caryophanales; Bacillaceae.